UGCACUCAUAUAAGAUUUAAGACAAACAAUUCUCCUUGCACAAUUCAAAAUGCCUGAAUGAAUACAUUGGAAAUACGUAAAAAUAGGAAUUUGGUUUAGGGAAUUGUCUUAGGCAUCAAAACAAAAUUUGUGGAAAAUACCAAAAAAUGACUGAUCAUUUUGAGUUGCAACUGGAUGUAGUUUCACAAGCUGAUGGAGAUGAUGAAACUGCAAAUGUCUUCAACCCACUAUGUCAGUUGCAUGUCCGCUGAGGGUGAUAAGAAACUGGACAAGUGAAAAAGGAUCACCAAUGGUAUUAAAUUCUGUGAACUGUUAGGACAAACUGUUAAGGAUACGCUUGAAAUAGGUUGAGCUUUGACCUAUGUACACAGAAUAAUAUAAUUCUCACAGUAGCAUCACAAAAUUAACCACCAUGAGAAUACAUAUCGAGUACACCCGAA
Molecule: unclassified non-coding RNA, 440 nt
Filed under: Hevea brasiliensis (rubber tree)
Lineage: Eukaryota; Viridiplantae; Streptophyta; Magnoliopsida; Malpighiales; Euphorbiaceae
Source: RNAcentral